UGGGUACCUACUCUUAACCCUUAGAGGAUUAUUUUACAACACAAUUUAAAACCGGGAGAAUAUAGUCUUUCCAGUGAUAGCAAAAGUGUACAUAUACGACGGAAUCUCCUCUGGGUGAAUUUUGUCACCUUAUAUUUCACCUGUAAUUGAGUAAAAGAACCAAAUCAAGUUUUCGUUUUCACCGUCCGCGUUCCAGCACUUCCUACUUCCUGUCACAGGCAUUUCCGAAUGAGAAUAGCGACAUCAUCACCAAAGCUAAGUUUUACAGCUGAAAUACCUUCAUAAUCCUCCAUAUUUCCCCCUAUAAUUUUGUCAAGAGUUUCGUUUAGACGGAUAUCCAGUUUCUGACCAAAGGCAGUCGGAAAUUUGCGAAUAACCAUUCCAGGGUGGUUGUGUAAAAAAUAAAUAAAUGCACAAAUUCUAAUGAAUUCUGCCAUUUUUUUUGUCAGCCAUGCUUCGUGUCACUGUAAAAAAAAAAAAGGAUAUUUCUAGAAUAAGCACACUCUAGAUUAAUCAUUAAAGAUAUUUAUACUUAUAUGGGUAACACUUUACAAUAACAGCCCAUGAACAAUCCUGCACUAACACCUGAAUUAAUACUUACUUAAAUAUGAGCUAAUGACGAGUUAAGGCAUGUACUAAUCCCGAACUAACCUUAACUACGACGUGAAUUCAUGCGUGCAUAACGACCACCUUAGUACCUUAAGUGCGUGUUUAUUAGUUAAUUUAUCGUUGUUUAUUAUCAGUGCAUGUUUUCUACGUUCGAUAAACAGGAUCGAUGUAAAUUAUGGAAGCAAUCCAACGCCACCCGGCGAUGUUUUGCGUACGCAGCUGCAUACGGGAAAUAUUAUAAACAAUUUGAAAUUGAUGCGCGUUUAAUUCAUAUUCUUUCUUAUAGAGUGUGUUGAUUUAAUUUAAACGUAUAUGUUAAUUAAUACAGUACAUUACCUCACAAACAUGUACUAACGUGCUUAAGGUGGUCGUAGUUAAGGUUAGCUCUUCAUUAGUUCGGGAUUAGUGCAUGCCUUAACUCAUCAUUUGUUCAUAUUUAAGUAAGUAUUAAUUCAGGUGUUAGUUCAUGAUUAUUCACGUGCUGUUAUUGUAAAGUGUUACAUUUAUAUGUUAGUCUCUUUAAGAAAACCAGUGUCCAAACUACUCUAGUGUCUCCAUAUGCUUAAGCCCAAAUUCUGACUAACAGCACGUUAUUCCUUUCUGCUUAUUUUCACAAAGGGUGCCAAUAAUUCCAGGAGUUAAAUAUACCAUAUAUAUAUAUAUAUAUAAUACCAGCGCUGAACAUUCCACACCCAUACAUGCAUACAAACAAGUUGAAAAACUGGAACAAAUGUUUUGGAGAAGUUCCCUGGCUGGAACAGUAGUGGGUUUUAUUUCCCACUGACCCGUCGGGAGUGUGAUCACUCAGCUACCGACUGACAGAGCGAGA
This is a long non-coding RNA of Ictalurus punctatus (channel catfish), 1438 nucleotides long. The record is from Ensembl. NCBI's taxonomy places the organism in Eukaryota, Metazoa, Chordata, Actinopteri, Siluriformes, Ictaluridae.